AAAAGCUUCCUGUGCUUUAUUUGCAAGCUGAGCCACUCAGAGACUGGCACAUGGAAUAAUACAGUGAUCUGAAUGAGACCAUGGGCAUCUGUGAGCCUCAGUUGGUGUUGCUAAACUGUCUAACAAACGCUUUUGGCGUACAAAACAGGCAUUUUGUGAGUAUGAUGAAGUUGCCAAGUCGUAAGGGGAAGGGGUGAGAAAAAUAGGCUACAGAAAAAAACGACGUCAUCAUGAGACACUGCAACAUUGUAGCAAAGAAUAAUAAACGCGCUGCGUGUCAAAGAACUGCGUUGACACACGACAGUGAAGAAGGCCCUCUCACUCACCCGCGGAUCAUAUAGCGGGACAAGCCUCAUGAUGACCGUGGGUUAAUAGUGAUUAAUGACAGCUAAGGUUAUUAAACAACUUUAACACUUGGAAUGAAAGUCAAAUUCUACAGCAAUGAGUUCUAGACUGAGCUCUGAGGUGAGAUAUAUUAUAACUUUUAAGGUCUUCUGAUUAAGAAACUAAUCGUAGAAGCUGUAUAGUAAAGGGUAAACUGUCACAGUUAGUGUGAAGUUACAUUGUCAGUACGUCUUUUGUGUUUAUAUUGAUAAUGGUGCUUGUUUAUGUCUGAGAGGAGUAGAGAGGUUCGGGGAGGGGAGUCUGCUCAUUAUGUAACUACCGUUUAGAAAUGUGUUUUCGUGCUCAGCUUUCUGGGCUAGACAUUCCUACGUUUCCGUUCGGAUUCGGUUAGACAACACAGCGAGAGCAGAUCGCAGAGGACAACAUAGAGAAACAACGUGCGCGUCCUCAUCCUGUAGUAUCGCAUGCCGCACAUGUGGAGGGUCCAACAAGUGUUUUAAAGAAGAGAAUGACUUUGUUACAAGCAUUCAGGUCUCAUGGAAAACAGUGGCGUUUAUGUAAAGGUAGGCUACUGUGUGAUACUUGUAAUAUAUUAACUUGACAAGUUUCAGGGUGACAUUGUUAAGAGGAAACUUGUUCUUUCAGGUUUAAGUCUAUAUUUUUCAGUCAUGCCGAUCAUGAAGGAAUAGUUCACCCAAAAAUGAAAAUUCUGUCAACAUUUACAUUCCAAACCUGUAUGAUUUUCUUUUUUCUGUGUAACACAAAAGAAGAUAUUUUGUAGAAUGUUGAUAACUAAACAAGUCAAUGGGAACAAAUCUGUUUAGUUAUCAACAUUCUACAAAAUAUCUUCUUUUUGCCUUUUGCAGAUGAAAGAAAGUCAAACAGGUUUAGAAUGAGAUGUGAGUGAAUAAAUGAAUGACAAAAUUUUCA
Cyprinus carpio (common carp) is the source of this 1275-nucleotide long non-coding RNA. Lineage: Eukaryota; Metazoa; Chordata; Actinopteri; Cypriniformes; Cyprinidae. The record is from Ensembl.